AGCCCAACCUAAACCUAAUUGCAAGUAGAAGAGUAGAGCGUGAGCAACGAGCUUCUCCUCCAGUGGCUUCUUCUUUUCCAUUGAUGCGAGCUUCUCCUCCAUCGAGUUUCGGCGUUCUAUCUUGUGCGAGCUUCUUAUCCUAAGUCGUCUUUUCCGUGUCCGUUCUCCCUUCUAGAAUUCGAAAUCUUCAUCACUGCUGCUCUGCGAGCUUCUCCUCCAUCAAUGAUUCUUCCCCUCCAUCGAUGUCAUGUCCAUCAAUGCUUCUCCUCUGAUGGUACAUUUGCUUCGGUGGAUGCGAUUUGAGAGGUGUUUAUGUGUGUUCUGACAAAGGGAUCGAGUGUGAGUGGGGACACACCCCCAAACCAUUUGGAUUAUCAUUGCAAAUUGUUGUUAUUAUUUUGGCAGAUUCCUGAUUUUGCAUGCUCGCCAAAUCCAGAGAGUGAGUAUAUUAUCCUAUUCAAAGCUUCUCUUUCAAUUAUUCUUUGAUAUUGUACUUGAUUUAGAUAUUUGGGAUCUAUAUGCUGAAAGAUGAGCACGAACCAACCUUAGAAGACGUUCUGCAACCUGGCAAGAACAUGUUGGCAGCUGGUUAUUGUAUGUACAGUAGCUCUUGCAUGCUUGUUUUGCUGUUGAUCAUUGGUCCGGGCAUGGGCACUUCGUGCCAUGGCAGGAAUUCGCCUUCAUGUAAUUGCACCUCUUGUUCUUGUUGCGGUGGGAAAAUGUGUUUAAUCAGGAUAUAACUAAUCAAGCGCUGCUUAUAUGAGGGACCGCAGUAGAAUGAUCAAACAGAUGCGGUUGAGAAAAUCUGCUGUUAGUGUAUUUGGAUAUGUUCAUGAGGUUAAGGAUAACAUGAAAGACAGGGAAGCCCAAACUGAUGGUGAUCCUGAACUUCUGGAUGAUUCUGAAUUUUUUCAGCAAUAACUGAGAGAAUUUUGAGACAGUUGAUCUUAAUUCAUCUGGUAAAACACGUUGUGGCUGAAAAUCUUCACAUAUAGCUCUUUUUUCGGCCAGUAUUUUUAAUUUCCUCAUCAGUAAUAUCCGCCUUGAGGUUUCUAUCACUCCCAGAUCCCAAAUUCUCUGAAGGCCCAUGCAUUUGAUGCUGUGAAGAAGGGUGAUACUAUUUUUAUUGGUCAAUACCUGUUUACAAGAAAUGAAACAACUUCUGUGCGGCGAGGAAUUGGAUCAAGAGAGUAAGAUUCCAUCGCCAAAAGAGUUAAAAAGUAGAUCUUUUGAAGCGAAUAAUAGAGCAAGUGUGAUUUUUUUUUAUGAUAGAGACUUGAUGUAUUAAGAGUUAUAUAUUAAGACUUUCAAUAUUAUAUUUGUAUAGGAGUUAUUAUUUUUUAUUUCCAAUACUAAAAAAUUAUAUAUUAUGUUUAAUAUUUUAUUUA
This is a long non-coding RNA of Arachis duranensis, 1388 nucleotides long. RefSeq lists it as uncharacterized. The transcript has 9 exons. The record is from RefSeq and is a predicted model, not a curated record. NCBI's taxonomy places the organism in Eukaryota, Viridiplantae, Streptophyta, Magnoliopsida, Fabales, Fabaceae.